CGCAAGUGCUAUGGGAACGCAACAAUUGGCGCAUUUAACCUUUAACACUCGCCCACGUUGUGUGUUCGGGCGUCUAUUUUUUAAUUGAUAUUGUCUUAAUUUUUUUAAUUUGUUUGUCCAUUGUAAAGUUAAAAAGUGAUAUUUUUUGAAAGGUGUUUUGCUUGUCGCCCCUGUUUACCUUACUAAACGGAACCAAUUAUUCGCAAAAAAAAACACAAAUUUCUUUUCGUUCGACAACAAGAACAACAUUUUGUUAUAUUGUGCUCAUUUUGUAUGGACGUCCUUAAAAAUGUGCGCGACGAACAUAAAUUCGUAUACUAUCGAGAUCGAUGUGGCGUCAUAAAUUGUAAUGUUAAUUAAACGUAAGUUGGCACCUUAACUGCGAAUUUUCACGACAAACGGCAAACGCAAACAACGACAGCAGUCAAUAUAAGACAAUAAUAAGGAGGGAGCACAAGUCAAGUGUAUCACAUGCAUGCAUAUAUGCAAACACACAAUACACCGAGGUAACUGUCUAAGUGAGAAAAACAAAUAACAACAAAAACGUGCGCAUUUAUAAAAGAAAUAAAAGACAACAACAAAAUUUAAUCGAAUAACGUAAAAUCAAGUGAAUCUCGCAGCAGGAUCUGCAGCGCACAGCAGAGCAGCGGAGCCCACGCGAACAAAUGAUCACGUGCACAAUGCUUAUGAGCGCGCGAAAAGGUGAAUAUGUAGAGUGAAGAAGCGACUGAUUGCAGUUAGUGGUGAACUGUGAUGAUAGAAAUAAAAGAAAAUAAAAAAUAAAGAGAAUAAAAAGUCGGAA
This is a long non-coding RNA of Bactrocera tryoni, 802 nucleotides long. RefSeq lists it as uncharacterized. The transcript has 2 exons. The record is from RefSeq and is a predicted model, not a curated record. Lineage: Eukaryota; Metazoa; Arthropoda; Insecta; Diptera; Tephritidae.